This 75-nucleotide transfer RNA is filed under the name Anaerolineaceae bacterium. Its description in RNAcentral is "tRNA-His". It matches the Rfam family "tRNA". From Rfam's summary of the family: Transfer RNA (tRNA) molecules are approximately 80 nucleotides in length. Their secondary structure includes four short double-helical elements and three loops (D, anti-codon, and T loops). RNAcentral also lists the same sequence under 1 other name. The record is from RNAcentral. Lineage: Bacteria; Bacillati; Chloroflexota; Anaerolineae; Anaerolineales; Anaerolineaceae.
GUGGCUGUAGCUCAAUGGCAGAGCACUUGACUGUGGAUCAAGUGGUUGUGGGUUCGACCCCCAUCAGCCACCCCU